This 1042-nucleotide unclassified non-coding RNA is filed under the name Hevea brasiliensis (rubber tree). Lineage: Eukaryota; Viridiplantae; Streptophyta; Magnoliopsida; Malpighiales; Euphorbiaceae. The record is from RNAcentral.
AAAAAAAAAAAAAGAAGAGAGAGAUAUCCAAAAUUCACCUUCUUUCCCCAGCAUAUUAGCUUCAAUUCCAGUCCAGUAGUUAGAUUCGGCUGAUUCUGGUUUCAAUGGUUCCUAUAUAAUCCUGGUACCAAUAUAUAAUCUUGCUUCUGCUGAUCAGUAAUGUCAUUGUUUACCUAGAAAAUUUAGAGGUUUUUAACAAACGUAGCUGGAUAUUGCCCUGUUGGCGGAAUUCUUAGUUCUUCUUGUCUUUUUUGUUUAUAUCUUUUCCAGUAUUUUCUUUGGGAUUAAUUAAUGUCGAUUGUUAACUUGAAUCACAUUCAUCAUAGGAGGUGGAUAUGGUUGGUUUUUCUAACAUUCAAUUAAAUAAAGGGUUAUUAUUGUCUCUGUUUAACCAUUUUAGAAUAGUCUGCCUGUUGCAUGUUACUGGUUUGGGUGUUUCUCAUCUGCUCAGUGUAGAGCCUCAUAGACAUGCAAAACCUAUUCUUGGACCUAAUCAAAAGCUUGGUCUUAUUAUGAGUUUUAUUUGACUUGGCAUUAGGAUCUUUAUGAACAAUAGUUAGUUUAGAUCCUGGAUGCCUCCAUCAUAUUAACUUAAUUUUAGCUUAAUAAAAAAUUUGAUUUGUAUUUGUCAAUGCUUCAAGCCCAGUGGAUCCUAGAGAUGUGACCUAUACUUAUUCUUUCUAAAAAGCUUGAGCUUUGGAGUUGAAUAGCUUUUGACACUACCAAUACCUGUCCACUUUAUCAAUGAAAAAUAAAGCAUGGCAUGGCAUGGCAUGACAGUUGUAAUGGAGUUUUUUUUUUCCAUAUUUUUCCUGAAGGGAGGUUUGCCAGAGUCAAUAUAUGCAUAUCUUAUUAUGCUGUUUCCAAAUUUUUUACGGGAUUUUAUUUUACAUGUGAUGGCAUGGUAUCAAUUGGCAAUUUUAUUGGUGAUUAAACUAUGAUGGCAUGAACUUUCUGUUAAGUGAUUAAGUGUGUGUGUCUGUGUGUGUGUGGGUGAACUUUCUGUUAAGUGAUUAAGUGUGUGUGUCUGUGUGUGUGUGGG